GUAGGUGAACCUGCGGAAGGAUCAUUAACACGUAUCCACGUAUCAACCAACUGUGAACUUGUUUUCAACCAUCUCCCCGUACUGUUACAUGAAUUGGGUUUAGUCACAUGAGAUAAUGAAUAGGGAAUUCCUUCGGGAGUUCACGUCUUAUGAGAUCACCUGGGCUUGCUCAGACAAUUGUAGUAACAGGUGGCGGGUCAAACCUAUUUCUUCUAUCAACCUCUCCUUUUCAUGAGCGCGAUAGUGGGAAGCAAACAACACAAACCUAUUUCACCCCCUUUUUGCUAGUUGACUUUUAUAUGUUGUCUCUUUUGCUACUUUACUGUGGCGACUGAUUCACACGUUUAUUAUUUGAACGUUAAAAUUACAACUCUUAGCAAUGGAUAUCUUGGUUCUC
This 397-nucleotide unclassified non-coding RNA is filed under the name rhizosphere metagenome. Its description in RNAcentral is "partial ribosomal RNA internal transcribed spacer region". The record is from RNAcentral.